CAUCUGUUCUGCGUGUGGCUCUCUCUUGGAGCAUUUUCCCCUUUGCUUCACUGCAUGCAGAGCAACAAAUGGUCGCAUCCUGAGGGUUCCUGGCUGGAACCGUGUCCAUCAUUGGGAGUCAUUUUUCUGCUGCUGCCCUUCCAGCUGUGGGUGUUAUGCUGGCAUCUGUAUGUGAAAGAUGAAGGUUUGUGGUCUGACUUCAUGCCUUGCUCAGGAAACUCCCCCCUCAGCCCCCUCACCUCCAGUUGUUUGGCUGAGACUCAGUUCAUCUUUAUUGCUAUUUUUCUGAUUUUCCUCCGGGCUCCUAAUGGCUGUGAUUACACCAAAUGCAGAGCAUUUCAUGUACUGUAGGAAUGAUUUCCAGGCCCAACUGCCUUGCUCAAUGCUUGAGGAUCAUUAAAGACAUUACUUUUUAUAAGCCAGUUUUUUUUUUACCUGCCCCAAUCUACUUCCAAUUCUAUGCUAACCUGCAAAGUAAUAAAAUUGCUGAAUUUA
This is a long non-coding RNA of Lagopus leucura (white-tailed ptarmigan), 495 nucleotides long. RefSeq lists it as uncharacterized. The record is from RefSeq and is a predicted model, not a curated record. NCBI's taxonomy places the organism in Eukaryota, Metazoa, Chordata, Aves, Galliformes, Phasianidae. The transcript has 2 exons.